AAUCAACGCUGGCGGCGUGCCUCAGACAUGCAAGUCGAACGCGAAAGGCCCCGUUCGGGGGCCGAGUAGAGUGGCGUCCGGGUGAGUAACACGUGGGUAAUCUACCUUCGGGUGGGAAUAACGACCGGAAACGGUCGCUAAUACCGCAUAAUGCAGCGGCACCUAAUGGUGACAGUUGUUAAAGCGGGGAUCGCAAGACCUCGCGCCUGAAGAGGAGCCCGCGCGGAUUAGCUAGNGGCAGGGUAACGGCCUACCAAGGCGACGAUCCGUAGCCGGCCUGAGAGGGCGGUCGGCCACACUGGCACUGACACACGGGCCAGACUCCUACGGGAGGCAGCAGUCGGGAAUUUUGGGCAA
Molecule: ribosomal RNA, 357 nt
Filed under: uncultured bacterium
Lineage: Bacteria
Description: bacterial SSU rRNA
Rfam family: Bacterial small subunit ribosomal RNA
Source: RNAcentral